AUUGCUUCUCAGCUUUUUAGGUAAGAUCAUGUGUAGUAUCUGUUCUUAUCAGUUUAAUGCCUAUUUUUUUGAGUGAAAUCUUGUUGGCAGCUGGUCACAAGUGGUGUCCCUCAGGGCUCAGUU
Molecule: small nuclear RNA, 123 nt
Filed under: Calidris pygmaea (Spoon-billed sandpiper)
Lineage: Eukaryota; Metazoa; Chordata; Aves; Charadriiformes; Scolopacidae
Description: U2 spliceosomal RNA (ENSCPGG00000009312.1)
Rfam family: U2 spliceosomal RNA
About the family: U2 is a small nuclear RNA (snRNA) component of the spliceosome (involved in pre-mRNA splicing). Complementary binding between U2 snRNA (in an area lying towards the 5' end but 3' to hairpin I) and the branchpoint sequence (BPS) of the intron results the bulging out of an unpaired adenosine, on the BPS, which initiates a nucleophilic attack at the intronic 5' splice site, thus starting the first of two transesterification reactions that mediate splicing.
Source: RNAcentral